AUUGAACGCUGGCGGCAUGCUUUACACAUGCAAGUCGAACGGUAACAGGCCGCAAGGUGCUGACGAGUGGCGAACGGGUGAGUAAUGCAUCGGAACGUGCCCAGUCGUGGGGGAUAACUACUCGAAAGAGUAGCUAAUACCGCAUACGAUCUAUGGAUGAAAGCGGGGGACCGUAAGGCCUCGCGCGAUUGGAGCGGCCGAUGUCAGAUUAGGUAGUUGGUGGGGUAAAGGCUCACCAAGCCAACGAUCCGUAGCUGGUCUGAGAGGACGACCAGCCACACUGGGACUGAGACACGGCCCAGACUCCUACGGGAGGCAGCAGUGGGGAAUUUUGGACAAUGGGCGCAAGCCUGAUCCAGCAAUGCCGCGUGCAGGAAGAAGGCCUUCGGAUUGUAAACUGCUUUUGUACGGAACGAAACGGCUCUGGUUAAUACCCGGGGCUAAUGACGGUACCGUAAGAAUAAGCACCGGCUAACUACGUG
RNAcentral lists this ribosomal RNA (482 nucleotides) under uncultured bacterium. RNAcentral's name for it is "partial 16S ribosomal RNA". It matches the Rfam family "Bacterial small subunit ribosomal RNA", at positions 30 to 507 of the family's 1533-position model. The record is from RNAcentral.